RNAcentral lists this ribosomal RNA (421 nucleotides) under uncultured bacterium. Its description in RNAcentral is "bacterial SSU rRNA". It matches the Rfam family "Bacterial small subunit ribosomal RNA", at positions 355 to 774 of the family's 1533-position model. The record is from RNAcentral.
UGAGGAAUAUUGGUCAAUGGACGGAAGUCUGAACCAACCAAGUCGCGUGAAGGAUGACUGCCCUAUGGGUUGUAAACUUCUUUUGUAUUGGGAGAAUAAGCCUUACGUGUAAGGUGAUGACUGUACAAUACGAAUAAGCAUCGGCUAACUCCGUGCCAGCAGCCGCGGUAAUACGUAGGGAGCAAGCGUUGUCCGGAAUUACUGGGUGUAAAGGGAGCGUAGGCGGGGAUACAAGUAAAAUGUUUAAACUAUCAGCUCAACUGGUAGUCGCGUUUUAAACUGUAUCUCUUGAGUGGAGUAGAGGCAGGCGGAACUCCUAGUGUAGCGGUGAAAUGCGUAGAUAUUAGGAGGAACACCAGUGGCGAAGGCGACUUACUGGACUGUAACUGACACCGAGGCUCGAAAGCUAGGGUAGCGAACG